This 499-nucleotide ribosomal RNA is filed under the name uncultured bacterium. Its description in RNAcentral is "partial 16S ribosomal RNA". It matches the Rfam family "Bacterial small subunit ribosomal RNA", at positions 28 to 507 of the family's 1533-position model. The record is from RNAcentral.
GACGAACGCUGGCGGCGUGCUUAACACAUGCAAGUCGAACGGGCCCGCUCUCUUUUUUGGGGGUGGGUUGAGUGGCGAACGGGUGAGUAUCACGUGAGUAACCUGCCCCCUGCUCCUGGAUAACUGCUUGAAAGGGCGGCUAAUACGGGGUGUGCCGGCUGGUCCGCAUGGGCCUGGUCGGGAUAGUUUCAUCUUCGGGUGUUUCGGUGGGGGAUGGGCUCGCGGCCUAUCAGCUUGUUGGUGGGGUGAUGGCCCACCAAGGCGGUGACGGGUAGCCGGCCUGAGAGGGUGGGCGGCCACACUGGGACUGAGACACGGCCCAGACUCCUGCGGGAGGCAGCAGUGGGGGGUAUUGCACAAUGGGCGGAAGCCUGAGGCAGCGACGUCGCGUGAGGGGUGGAGGCCUUCGGGUUGUGAACCUCUUUCUCCGGUGGUGAAGGCCCUGUCCGUUGCGGCGGGGUUGACGGUAGCCGGGUAUGAAGCGCCGGCUAACUACGUG